Long non-coding RNA from Telopea speciosissima, 175 nucleotides. RefSeq lists it as uncharacterized. The transcript is spliced from 2 exons. The record is from RefSeq and is a predicted model, not a curated record. Lineage: Eukaryota; Viridiplantae; Streptophyta; Magnoliopsida; Proteales; Proteaceae.
UUGACAGGGUCGAUUUGUGUAGAGGAACUAAAGGAAGGUUCGAAGUAUAAUUUGUGUCUUUAUAAGAGGGAAGGCCCUUUAUCAAGACGAGGAGAACAGAGUUCCUCCCUCCGGUGGGUCUGCAACAAAAUUUCCAGUGUCAUAAAAUAACUUUGCAUAUCGAGCUUGUCUAUGA